Pelobates cultripes (western spadefoot toad) is the source of this 208-nucleotide non-coding RNA. The record is from the annotation of a GenBank genome assembly. Lineage: Eukaryota; Metazoa; Chordata; Amphibia; Anura; Pelobatidae.
UGAGGAUUCGUGGGGAAUAGUCUUCCUCUUGGAAACCACAGAGCCAAUAACAAGUCACAGAGAGAGAGGAGGAGGGUGAUAAAGCACCAAGGAUAGUAGAAUGCUCCAGGGGGACAAAGGGAAUAUCCUGUGUAAAUGUGAGAAUUUACUGAGUUUGACCAGUCCUAACUGGUUCUGGCUAAUUCCUCACAGCCUGAGUGAGUUGUUU